AUUGGACGCUGGCGGCGUGCCUAACACAUGCAAGUCGAGCGGUAACAGGUGUAGCAAUACAUGCUGACGAGCGGCGAACGGGUGAGUAAUGCUUCGGAAUCUACCCAAUGGUGGGAAUAACCAGCCGAAAGGUUGGCUAAUACCGCAUACGUCCCACGGGAGAAAGCAGGGGAUCGCAAGACCUUGCGCCAAUGGAUGAGCCGAAGUCGGAUUAGCUAGUUGGAGGGUAACGGCCUACCAAGGCGACGAUCCGUAGCUGGUCUGAGAGGACGACCAGCCACACUGGGACUGAGACACGGCCCAGACUCCUACGGGAGGCAGCAGUGGGGAAUAUUGGACAAUGGGGGAAACCCUGAUCCAGCGACGCCGCGUGUGU
Molecule: ribosomal RNA, 376 nt
Filed under: uncultured bacterium
Lineage: Bacteria
Description: bacterial SSU rRNA
Rfam family: Bacterial small subunit ribosomal RNA
Source: RNAcentral